Molecule: long non-coding RNA, 509 nt
Organism: Myiozetetes cayanensis
Lineage: Eukaryota; Metazoa; Chordata; Aves; Passeriformes; Tyrannidae
Exons: 4
Source: RefSeq, a predicted model, not a curated record
UCUAUCCUCCCUUUCCUGCCUGCUGCUGAGCCACAGGGAUUCGUGAUACCCGACAUGAAGGGGUAAACCUGUUUUGUUGAAGUCACAGGGUUUUAUAUCUAAACUUUCUAGGCACGUUUUCACUGUUUAGGAAAAACCGAGCUGGAAGGUUCUGUGUAUGUUGCCUGACUUUCAACGUGAAAAAGAGGGAAUUACAAUUGUGUUGAAGGUUUUUUCACUCGGAAGGAGGUUUUUGGAAGUUCUCCUUCACCCCACCUUGGGUUAGCAUUCUGUCCCUGCUUCCACAUAUUGUCUCACCUGGUGAGGAGCUACAUGUGACGGGAAUGUGGACAUUUUGAAAAGAAAUACAGUAUUAACAGCAGUGGGGUGAGUGCUUUCAAGAAGGCCUGCCAAUUCUUGUCUUUUCUUCUGAGAUUGCUCACCAGCAUGGAGAUGGCUUUGUGCGGUAAAUUCCUCUUUCACCGUUCUGCUCAGAACUGGGUCAUGACCACCAUAUUGUACCAAGGUUG